RNAcentral lists this long non-coding RNA (1443 nucleotides) under Bemisia tabaci. Its description in RNAcentral is "lncRNA ENSSSA3NGG013900". Lineage: Eukaryota; Metazoa; Arthropoda; Insecta; Hemiptera; Aleyrodidae. The record is from RNAcentral.
GAACAGAGUUUUAUAUUAUAUUUAUAACAAAGACCUGUUAUCAGCCUGAUAUUUUUUUACUACUAUGAUCAUUUUAUUUUUCGUUUUAAAGGACGAGAUCUCACAGCUACACAUUUUAACGAAGGGUUGGAACUGUACCUUGGUGGGAAAUCAGCAGGAUCCAAACUCCGCCCUUCGGAUAGUGAGAAGGGCAGGAGAGGAGGUCCUUGGACUAAGCUUGCCAGCUCUGACAUCACAUUCAGGUUCCUCUCUGGUGAAUUUACGAGGGAUUUCUGUUGAGGAAACUUCUUUUUCUGUUGAGACAGCCGCACUCCUGACGAGACCAAAUCUAGAAUUUCAGCCGAGUUUCCUUGCCUAUAACCGGCACUUUUUAUUCAAAUUUUAAACCCUGAAAAUUGGACUGUGGGUUAUCUGAGAAAAGCUAUGAAUUCAUAAAACUUCACUUGAGACCGAAUAUGAGGCAGUUAUUAAAUCACUACAAGAAACUGUUCUCAAACUUCAGGAAAUCGUGGAGAAACAAUCUGUUCAGAUUACGGGUAUGCAGUCUGAAAAAAAAUGUUGAGUAAGUAGAAGUUUCAGACUUACUUUUUUGGGAGGAGUUUAGCUGCUUCUAAAAAUGGGCGCGGUAGUUUUUUCACAUUUUCCACUUCGCUUUUGUCAAAGUCUUCCAGUUUGACACUUUCUGCAAUAGAAAACAAUGGUAUGAAGAUUUUUCCCCACUUGUAUUGAGAUGCUUCAAUAGAUUCUUUUGGUCGAAAGUGAUAGUCCGUCACCUUUCUGCUACAGUAUCACAAGCAGCAUUCACGCUUUGAAGCUAUGUUGCCAGUCAUCUCAAUAUUAUUUCAAUUUUUUCUUUAAAACUUUUGCACAAACUUUCACGAAAAUUUCAUGGAUCAAUCUUGAUGACAAAUGGAAUGUCAGGUAAAAUUUUCAGAAGAUUCUGGUGAUUGGCUUUCCCUAAAAAGUUGGACAAGUUGGAGAAAUUGGAUGUUGUAGAUCUCACUUACAGUACGCCACACACCUAGGAAACUGUACUAAAAUGGAAUUUUAAUUGAACUUACCAUCACUCGAAUCAUUUCCAGCAUUUUCUAUCAUUGACUGCUGCCGGGGGUUUGACUUGGGCUUGACAGCUUUGCGCCUUUUACACGGUUUAGGCCUCAAGUUAUUUGGUGGGCCCAAAUGUGCAUCAGAGAUUGUAACUGGUUCAUCGUCUGACUGAGUGUGGCAAGGACUGUGGUCUGGACUGCUCAGAUCAUGCGCACGUUUUUGGAUCACGGACAGAUGCUUCCAGAUGGGACCAAUAUUCGCCGAAUAAACACCGCAAUUUGUCCAGAUGAAUUUAAUGAUACCUAGAAAUCAGAAUUGGGCUAAUUUAAAACAUUUCCCUGCAAGUUACUACAAAUACUCUUAACCAUAAACUUUUUAACUCUUUUUUUAUUUUGU